GGUCGGUUAGCUCAGCUGGUUAGAACGUGGUGCUAAUAAGCCCAAGGUUGCGGGUUCGAUACCCGUACUGGCCA
Danio rerio (zebrafish) is the source of this 74-nucleotide non-coding RNA. Lineage: Eukaryota; Metazoa; Chordata; Actinopteri; Cypriniformes; Danionidae. The record is from Rfam.